CACGCCUUGCUGUGGCUGGUCAAACGGAACCAAGUCAGGUGUUUCUGUGAGGUUUGGUCCCCUUCAACCAGCUACUGCAUUGGCACACA
Molecule: non-coding RNA, 89 nt
Organism: Takifugu rubripes (torafugu)
Lineage: Eukaryota; Metazoa; Chordata; Actinopteri; Tetraodontiformes; Tetraodontidae
Source: Rfam